RNAcentral lists this long non-coding RNA (199 nucleotides) under Salvia miltiorrhiza (redroot sage). Its description in RNAcentral is "long non-coding RNA (SMIL_LNC009390)". Lineage: Eukaryota; Viridiplantae; Streptophyta; Magnoliopsida; Lamiales; Lamiaceae. The record is from RNAcentral.
CUACAUAAAUUAAGGGUGAUGUGGUGCACUUGCUCACUAAUCGCAUUAUAUAUAUACUUGAUCUUUGCCACAUAUAAAAUAUAUCGAGGUAAAAUGCCAUAUAUCCAUUUUGAAAGAAGAAAUAUACAUAUGGCAAAGAUCAAAUAUACAUAUAUAACUUUUGUGUUUCGAAAAGGUAAUUAGUUUGUGUGUGUGUGUG